AAACCAGGAAAUAUUUAAUUUAAAAGUCUACAUUGCAUUUUUGAUUUUAGAACAGCAUUAAGUCUAUGUUACGACGUUGUCGAUUUAACGCAUACUCUCAGUAAUGCGUCCGUCCAUUACCCGGGGAAAUACCCCAUUUUAACUGCAGAUUGACUUCAGAGGACCUUUUGGAUCUGAUGAUUGGUAUGUACAAAUAUACUAUUCCGAGAGAUACUGCAUCUUUCUUUAUCGUGGUUUAAUUGGGUUAUAAAAAGAGAUUUUGUUAUUUGGCUUUCAAAGUUACAAAAAAUUGAAAAUAUUCAAUUGUUAAUUUUAAUGAUAAAUUAAGAGGUUAGGUCUCGGUUAAAAACAAAUAGUAAUUUUGAUUCAUUUUCUUUUCUUUACACUAUUGAACGUAUCAGUCUCCUAUGCACAGUUGUCGGUCCUUGCUCAAGGACCGAUAACUCUGCACGGGAGAUUGUAAAGUGACAUGUCCAUGCACGAUCGUCAAAGUGUUGUUGAAUUCACUGUUGCAUUUUAUGUUUAUGGUGUAUUUGAUAUUAAAAAUGUUUGGGUGUUCUUAAAACGGUCGAAGCACUAGUAGGAUAAUUUUUUUUUGUGUGUUUUUUUUGCACAUGUCCUUAUUUAGAAUAAUAAUUUAUGAUAAUUUUGUAGUAGAAACAUAUCUAAAAGGAAAUUUUUAUGCCCUUGUAAUAUUUGUAAUCUAACUGUAAAAAAUCACGGUUUAAAACGAUUCAAUAUGUCGAAAAUUCGAUUGUAGCUAAUUCAGAUAGUUUAGUUUAAACAUAUUUAUUUAUAGUCGAUUGGGAAACAAGUUUUGCAACUUAUAUUAAUCCCUUUCCACUUUGCGGGUGCGAGUACUGCCUUGUAGCGGCAUUAUCCUACUCUUUUUCGAAAUCUACAAGGGUGUCUGUAACGUACAAGAGAUAUGGCUCUCUCUUAACACAGGUCAGCCAUUUAAUUCCGAUAAUAUUUUUUUUUCAAACUGAUAUAACCAGAUUACUGUAAUAAGAUUUAAAAAGGGAAAUCAGUAUUAAUCAUUAAAAAAAGAAUGUUUGGUUUCCCUUUUAAAUACUCUAAAAUGACCAUGUCUUUAGACAACCCGACGUUAAAUUGAGUAUUUUGAUAGUUUGUCACUAUCUUAGUACUACAUUUAUUUUAAUGAAGAUUACCUGUUAGAAUUAUAUUGUACUAAUAAUGUUAUCAUCAUUCGAAAUAUUUGGCAGAAAAAAUCACUAAGUUACCAAGUAUGGAAAAAUUGGAUUUUUUUUUCAACAAUUCCGUAAAAGCAGGUACUUAACCAGUGUCAACAUAAAAUGCAUUAUUUGUUAUAAUUGUGUGUGACAUAAUGAAUUAUAUACAUAAAUUCCAGGUUUAUAUACGUCGACAUAGUUAAAUGUCGUUUACAAAUAAACAACUGAAUAGUACAUUUUUCAAGCAAGGAGAAAUAUUAAAAAAUCGAUUUACAAAAUACAGACUACUACUGUGGAUUCAUGUUUGUUCGUUGGAUACCAAUUUUCGUGGAUUACGUGGGAACAGGUAGACCAUCGAAUAUCAAAAUUUUCUAUAGGGUUGUAUGCAGAUUUCGCCAAAAGCACGAAAUCAAAUGUCCACGAACAUGUAAGUUUUCAUCAAUCCACGAAAAUUGGUACCCACGAAAUUAAAUGAAUCCACAGUAUAAACAAAAUAACAUGUCACAAAUAUACUAUGUAAUAAGCACAGAACAUCAAUAUUUGAUAACUUUGAUACAUACUUACAGAGUUUUAAAUUUCGAAGCUUUUCCUUUUUAUACGAAAGAUUAUUCGUGCAUGGCACAAUUAGCAAAUCUUUCGAACGUUCGCUAUUUAUAAUGGAUACAAGUCAGAGUAAUUUUUGGAAUUAAAAAAACGGAACUUUAACCAUGGCCUUGAAAAUGUAUUCAGAGGUAAAAUAGUUUUAAGAAACAUUAUGUAAAUUAGAAAGAAGGGGAAGUCAAUAAAACUGAUAGAAGCAAGCAUUAUGAACCAACAUAAGAAAUGUAAAAUAACUGUCGUUUGUCUGACUUCGAAUGAAUCGUGUGGAUUAAACCUGAUAUUUGAUAGCUAGCCAAUCCUUCCACUUGUACUACAAUUAUUCAUGAUUCAAUUAUAUUCACAAAUGUGGUGAACAGCCAAAAACAGACAUAAUAAUUCAAUGUAUCAAUAAUUGGGAUCCACCAGCCAAUACUGUGGUGUAAACAUACACCACAACUGACCUAAAAAUUAAAUCAAACAUACAAAUAAAAUGAAAAAGUUUUGAUAGUUGAUAAUCAACACACUUUAUCAACAACACAGUACAAAUUAAAUGUAAUAUAUAUAGCGUUUACUUCAUGUUGAAUACCUCAAUGAAUAUAUUAUACGGAAAACAGUAAUACAAAGUUUUCUCAAGUGCAAGUACAUGUAGUUAUUUUUGUCAUACAAUACACUGCUUUUAUAGGAACAUAAAAGAACACACACACAAUAAUGAUAAUGGAUGUAUUGUUAUUGUAGGUUUGAAAUCAAUACGUUUCGUACCACGGAAAACAUUGGAACACAUGUUGAUGCACCAGCCCAUUUCUCUGAAGGUUAAUGGCGAGCACAUCAGAUACCUGUUGACCACCUUGUUGGGAAUGGAGUUAUAAUCAAUGUAAAAUCCAAAGUACAAAAUAACCCGGAUUAUCACGUGACAUUGUCCAAUUUAUGAAUGGGUAAAGAAAAACGGCAGAACACCAGAUGGGUCAGUAGUUCUGAUGAAUUCCGGUUGGGACGUCAGAUAUCCGGAUUUUAGACAGGUUUUCAAUACACAAACACCCAAUGAUUGAUCUACUUUCCAUUUUCCAAGCUGGCACCAAGACACUGUAAGUUGGUUGAUACGGAAUCGUCGAGUUAAUUUAAUUGGCGUGGAUACACCCUCCAAUGACUAUGGAACAUCAACAGAUUAUCCUGCCCACAUUUUGAUGGCUAAAAACGAUAUUAUCGGCGUAGAAAAUGUUGCCAACUUAGACGCAUUGCCGCCAAAUGGUGCUUUGAUAUUCGUCAACAUCCUUAAAAUAUUGGACGGAAGCGGCAGUCCGGCAAGAAUCAUGGGUUUCAUGGAAAAAACGAAGGUUGAAAUUUAAAACCAAUCGCUCUAAACAUUAUUAUCGAUCUCGAUACUAGAAAGAAAAGGC
RNAcentral lists this long non-coding RNA (3166 nucleotides) under Mytilus galloprovincialis (Mediterranean mussel). Lineage: Eukaryota; Metazoa; Mollusca; Bivalvia; Mytilida; Mytilidae. The record is from RNAcentral.